AUUGGUUGUGUAGCAGCACAAUCAAUCGGUGAACCUGCCACCCAAAUGACUCUCAACACCUUUCACUAUGCUGGUGUCAGUGCUAAGAAUGUUACACUUGGUGUUCCAAGGUUACGAGAAAUCAUUAAUGUGGCAAAGAGAAUCAAAACACCUUCUCUGUCUGUGUUCUUGAAACCUGAGGUUGGUAAGACCAAAGAGAGGGCCAAGAAUGUGCAGUGUGCUUUAGAAUAUACAACUCUUAGGAGUGUGACUCAGGCUACAGAGGUGUGGUAUGAUCCUGACCCAAUGGGUACAAUAAUUGAAGAGGAUGUUGACUUUGUGAAGUCCUACUAUGAAAUGCCUGAUGAAGAAGUUGCUCUUGACAAAAUCUCUCCUUGGUUGCUUCGCAUAGAACUUAAUCGUGAAAUGAUGGUGGAUAAGAAGUUGAGUAUGGCUGACAUUGCUGAAAAGAUUAACCUUGAAUUUGAUGAUGAUCUGACCUGCAUAUUUAACGAUGACAAUGCUGAAAAACUUAUUCUUCGUAUCCGUAUUAUGAAUGAUGAAGCCCCCAAAGGAGAGAUUCAGGAUGAAUCAGCUGAAGAUGACGUUUUCUUAAAGAAAAUAGAAGGCAACAUGCUGACUGAAAUGACCUUGCGAGGUAUCCCAGACAUCAACAAAGUUUUUAUAAAAAACACUAAAGUUCAGAAGUUUGAUGAGAAUGAAGGUUUUAAGCCUCAUGAUGAGUGGAUGCUUGAUACCGAAGGUGUCAACCUUUUAGCUGUAAUGUGCCAUGAUGAAGUCGAUGCAACCAGGACCACAAGCAAUCAUUUGAUUGAAGUUAUUGAAGUUCUUGGUAUCGAGGCAGUUCGCCGGGCUCUUCUGGAUGAAUUACGUGUUGUCAUUUCUUUUGAUGGUUCAUAUGUCAAUUACAGGCAUCUGGCCAUUCUUUGUGAUACCAUGACUUACCGCGGUCAUUUGAUGGCAAUUACACGUCAUGGUUUCAACAGGAAUGAUACUGGGCCAAUGAUGAGAUGCUCGUUUGAAGAGACUGUCGAUAUUCUUGUUGAUGCUGCAGUAUAUGCUGAGACUGAUUACUUGAGGGGUGUUACUGAAAAUAUUAUGUUAGGUCAGCUUGCCCCCAUUGGCACUGGAGAAUGUGCCCUGUAUCUGAAUGAUGAGAUGCUGAAGAAUGCUAUUGAGCUGCAGCUACCUAGUUACAUGGAAGGGCUUGAUUUUGGCAUGACGCCUGCUCGUUCACCAAUUUCUGGAACUCCAUAUCAUGAAGGCUUGAUGUCUCCAAGCUAUUUGCUGAGCCCAAAUCUACGGCUGUCACCUACCAAUGAUGCCCAGUUUUCUCCUUAUGUUGGUAGAAUACCAUUUUCGCCUACUUCAUCUCCCGGUUACAGUCCGUCAUCACCUGGCUAUAGUCCGUCAUCACCUGGAUACAGCCCCACAUCACCUGGAUACAGUCCCACGUCACCCGGGUACAGCCCUACCUCUCCGGCUUACAGCCCUAGCUCGCCAGGUUAUAGCCCAACAAGCCCGUCAUAUUCACCUACCAGUCCAUCGUACUCUUGAUGGGCAAAGGCUUGAUCUCAGAUAUUUAAAGAAAAGUAGCGAUCACCAUUUGGAGCUUGGAUACAAGGUAUUUUUUUUCAGACAAUGACAAUUUUUUUCUUUUAGGGUUUCUCUUUUUUUUUUUAUAAUAGCUCUUAAUGGUGUUGUUUUAGGUGGAGCGUCAUUUGAAUGAUGGGGACUUUGUUCUAUUCAAUCGCCAGCCCAGUCUUCAUAAAAUGUCUAUCAUGGGUCAUAGAAUCAAAAUCAUGCCUUAUUCUACUUUUCGUCUUAACUUGUCAGUUACUUCACCAUAUAAUGCUGAUUUUGAUGGGGAUGAAAUGAAUAUGCAUGUUCCUCAGUCAUUUGAAACCAGAGCAGAGGUGUUGGAGCUGAUGAUGGUGCCUAAAUGCAUCGUGUCACCUCAAUCAAACAGGCCUGUAAUGGGAAUUGUCCAAGAUUCGCUUUUGGGAUGCAGAAAAAUCACAAAGAGAGAUACCUUCAUCACAAAGGUUAUAUUUAGUGAAUUCUUCUCUUGUUUCAGUUUGUUUUAGUGUCAUGGUUCUUGUAAAAGCUGUUUAGAGGUCUGAUAAAAGCUAUUUUUCCAGGAUGUUUUUAUGAACAUUUUGAUGUGGUGGGAAGAUUUUGAUGGGAAAGUUCCUGCUCCUGCAAUAUUAAAGCCAGAGCCAUUGUGGACCGGGAAACAAGUUUUCAAUCUCAUCAUUCCUAAAGCAAUAAAUCUGAUUAGAUAUUCUAGCUGGCACAAUGAGAGUGAAAGGGGGUCCAUAACCCCUGGGGAUACAAUGGUCAGAAUUGAAAAAGGGGAACUACUUACUGGGACACUUUGCAAAAAGACACUUGGAGCAUCUUCUGGAAGUCUCAUUCAUGUCAUCUGGUAUCCUAAUUAGACAGAUUUCUCCUUUAAAUUACCAGCUUAAUCAUAUUGUUAAUGUUAAUUUACGUUUACAACCACUUCUAGAAGGGGGGUCAUGUUGUGUUGAUCAGAACUUUUUUCUUUGAAAUGCUUGUAAAUCCUAAUUGAUGUUGAUAACUAAUUUGAUUAUGUCAUGGAGUACUCACUACUCUCUGACUAUAGUCGUUAACUUCAUGUGACUUUGGAAUGGUUGAUCAGAACUUUAAAUCCCAAGUGAUGUUGUCAAAUAAUUUGAUUAUGUCAUGGAGUACUUUCUGACUAUAGUCGUUAACAUUGUGUGACUUUGGAAGCUGUUUCAGUUCCUUCCCUGUCCACUCACCCUACUGAAUGUCUGUUCGAAUACAGGGAAGAGGUUGGACCGGAUGCAGCUCGUAAAUUUCUAGGUCAUACUCAGUGGCUUGUGAACUAUUGGCUUUUGCAGCAGGCGUUUAGCAUGGGAAUUGGUGAUACAAUUGCUGAUGCGUCAACUAUGGAGGUUAUUAAUCAGACUAUUUCACAAGCUAAGGAGAAAGUGAAGCAACUCAUCAGGGAUGCUCAAGAAAAGAAGUUGGAGGCUGAACCGGGUCGGACUAUGAUGGAUUCAUUUGAAAAUAGAGUGAACCAGGUGCUUACAUUAGGUUGUUUGUGUCAGUGCUAUUUAUAGGCUUUUGCUUUUUACUGGAUCUGAUGUAUUUUUCAUUUGAUAAUUUCAGACAUUGAAUAGAGCUCGUGACGAUGCCGGAAAUAGUGCACAGAAAAGUUUAUCUGAGAGCAAUAAUCUAAAAGCAAUGGUUACAGCCGGUUCCAAAGGAAGUUUUAUCAACAUUUCUCAGAUGACGGCUUGUGUGGGCCAACAAAAUGUCGAGGGUAAGCGAAUUCCAUAUGGGUUCGUAGAUCGGACGUUGCCCCACUUUACAAAAGAUGAUUAUGGGCCUGAAAGUCGUGGCUUUGUGGAGAACUCGUAUCUCCGAGGACUGACCCCACAAGAGUUCUUUUUCCAUGCCAUGGGUGGUAGGGAAGGUCUUAUUGAUACUGCAGUGAAGACUUCUGAAACUGGGUACAUUCAGAGGCGACUUGUGAAGGCUAUGGAGGAUAUCAUGUGUAAAUAUGAUGGGACAGUUAGGAACUCUUUGGGAGAUGUUAUACAAUUUCUAUAUGGCGAAGACGGAAUGGAUGCAGUUUGGAUAGAAACACAGAAGCUGGAUUCCCUAAAAAUGAAGAAAACAGAAUUUGAUAGGGUUUUUCGGCACAACUUUGAUGAUGAAAACUGGAAACCUAAUUACAUGCUUGAAGAGUCUGUAGAAGAUUUGAAAAGCUUCAAAGAGUUUCGUAGUGUGUUUGAGGCGGAACUCCACAAGCUUGAAACUGACAGAUUUCAACUUGCAACAGAGAUAGCCACUACUGGUGACAGUUCUCUGCCACUACCUGUUAACCUUAAGAGGCUUAUCUGGAAUGCUCAAAAGACCUUCAAGGUUGACUUCCGGAGGACUUCUGAUAUUCAUCCUAUGGAAAUUGUGGACGCGAUUGAUAAGCUCCAGGAGAGACUUAAGGUUGUUCCUGGUGAUGAUCUUUUGAGUCAAGAAGCUCAGAAAAAUGCAACUCUUCUGUUCAAUAUUCUGCUUCGUAGCACUUUUGCCAGUAAAAGGGUCCUGGAGGAAUACAGGCUUUCUCGUGAGGCAUUUGAAUGGGUUGUGGGAGAAAUAGAAUCAAGGUUCCUGCAAUCACAGGUAGCCUCUGGGGAGAUGAUUGGUUGUGUAGCAGCACAAUCAAUCGGUGAACCUGCCACCCAAAUGACUCUCAACACCUUUCACUAUGCUGGUGUCAGUGCUAAGAAUGUUACACUUGGUGUUCCAAGGUUACGAGAAAUCAUUAAUGUGGCAAAGAGAAUCAAAACACCUUCUCUGUCUGUGUUCUUGAAACCUGAGGUUGGUAAGACCAAAGAGAGGGCCAAGAAUGUGCAGUGUGCUUUAGAAUAUACAACUCUUAGGAGUGUGACUCAGGCUACAGAGGUGUGGUAUGAUCCUGACCCAAUGGGUACAAUAAUU
This 4491-nucleotide long non-coding RNA is filed under the name Lupinus angustifolius (narrow-leaved blue lupine). RNAcentral describes it as "long non-coding RNA (LANG_LNC001552)". Lineage: Eukaryota; Viridiplantae; Streptophyta; Magnoliopsida; Fabales; Fabaceae. The record is from RNAcentral.